This 253-nucleotide ribosomal RNA is filed under the name uncultured bacterium. RNAcentral describes it as "partial 16S ribosomal RNA". It matches the Rfam family "Bacterial small subunit ribosomal RNA", at positions 524 to 776 of the family's 1533-position model. The record is from RNAcentral.
UACGUAGGGGGCAAGCGUUGUCCGGAUUUAUUGGGCGUAAAGAGCGUGUAGGCGGCUUUACAGGUCCGUUGUGAAAACUCGAGGCUCAACCUCGAGACGCCGGUGGAAACCGUAAAGCUAGAGUCCGGAAGAGGAGAGUGGAAUUCCUGGUGUAGCGGUGAAAUGCGCAGAUAUCAGGAGGAACACCCGUGGCGAAGGCGCUGCUCUGGGCCGGUACUGACGCUGAGGAGCGAAAGCGUGGGUAGCAAACAGG